AACGAACGUUGGCGGCGUGGAUUAGGCAUGCAAGUCGAGGGAAUCCCAGCAAUGGGGGAACCGGCGUAAGGGGCAGUAAGGCGUGGGUACCUACCCUGGGGUCCGGCAUAGCCGUCCGAGAGGGCGGGUAAUUCCGGAUGAUCUCGGGAGAGCAAAGAUUUAUCGCCCUGGGAGGGGCCCACGUGAUAUUAGCUAGUUGGUGAGGUAACGGCUCACCAAGGCGGAGAUGUCUAGCGGGUGUGAGAGCACGACCCGCGCCACUGGCACUGAGACACUGGCCAGACACCUACGGGUGGCUGCAGUCGAGAAUCUUCGGCAAUGUGCGAAAGCACGACCGAGCGACGCCGCGUGUGCGAUGAAGGCCUUCGGGUUGUAAAGCACUGUCGAGGGGGAGAAAAGCCCGAAAGGGUCUGAUCUAUCCCUGGAGGAAGCACGGGCUAAGUUCGUGCCAGCCGCCGCCGUAACAC
RNAcentral lists this ribosomal RNA (467 nucleotides) under uncultured bacterium. RNAcentral's name for it is "bacterial SSU rRNA". It matches the Rfam family "Bacterial small subunit ribosomal RNA", at positions 28 to 526 of the family's 1533-position model. The record is from RNAcentral.